UUUCCGUAGGUGAACCUGCGGAAGGAUCAUUAUUGUAUAACCGAGGUGCGAGGGCUGUCGCUGACCCGAAAGGUCGUGCACGCCCGAGUGCCCGCACACACAUCCAUCUCACCCCUAUGUGCACCACCGCGUGGGUCCCCCUUUGGCUUGUUCGGAGGGGGGCUUACGUUUUCACACAAACUUUGUAUGCAGUGUAGAAUGUAUUUUUUGUUUUUGCGAUCACGCAAUCAAUACAACUUUCAACAACGGAUCUCUUGGCUCUU
Molecule: unclassified non-coding RNA, 263 nt
Filed under: plant metagenome
Description: partial contains small subunit ribosomal RNA, internal transcribed spacer 1, and 5.8S ribosomal RNA
Source: RNAcentral